Molecule: ribosomal RNA, 466 nt
Filed under: uncultured bacterium
Lineage: Bacteria
Description: partial 16S ribosomal RNA
Rfam family: Bacterial small subunit ribosomal RNA
Source: RNAcentral
GACGAACGCUGGCGGCGCGCCUAACACAUGCAAGUCGAACGAGCGAGAGAGAGCUUGCUUUCUCGAGCGAGUGGCGAACGGGUGAGUAACGCGUGAGGAACCUGCCUCAAAGAGGGGGACAACAGUUGGAAACGACUGCUAAUACCGCAUAAGCCCACGGUGCCGCAUGGCACAGAGGGAAAAGGAGCAAUCCGCUUUGAGAUGGCCUCGCGUCCGAUUAGCUAGUUGGUGAGGUAAUGGCCCACCAAGGCGACGAUCGGUAGCCGGACUGAGAGGUUGAACGGCCACAUUGGGACUGAGACACGGCCCAGACUCCUACGGGAGGCAGCAGUGGGGAAUAUUGCACAAUGGGGGAAACCCUGAUGUAGCGACGCCGCGUGGAGGAAGAAGGUCUUCGGAUUGUAAACUCCUGUUGUUGGGGAAGAUAAUGACGGUACCCAACAAGGAAGAGACGGCUAACUACGUG